CCUGGUGGCUCAGAGGUUAAAGCGUCUGCCUGCAAUGCGGGAGACCUGGGUUCGAUCCCUGUGUCAGGA
RNAcentral lists this transfer RNA (69 nucleotides) under Ovis aries (sheep). It matches the Rfam family "tRNA". Rfam says of the family: Transfer RNA (tRNA) molecules are approximately 80 nucleotides in length. Their secondary structure includes four short double-helical elements and three loops (D, anti-codon, and T loops). Lineage: Eukaryota; Metazoa; Chordata; Mammalia; Artiodactyla; Bovidae. The record is from Rfam by way of RNAcentral.